RNAcentral lists this long non-coding RNA (1104 nucleotides) under Homo sapiens (human). Its description in RNAcentral is "HSALNT0192788". Lineage: Eukaryota; Metazoa; Chordata; Mammalia; Primates; Hominidae. The record is from RNAcentral.
CUUCACUUGGCUCUCAUUCUUCUCCUUCCUGUCACCAUGUGAAAGAUAUGCUUGUUUCCUCUUCUGCCGUGAUUGCUUAUAAACAGAAGGGACUUGCCUUGUCUCAGAUGAGACUUUGGACUUAGACUUUUGGGUAAUGCUGCAAUGAGCUAAGACCUGCGCUGAUGGAAAGAUGCAGAUAAGAAACGUGGGAAGCCACAAGAAAGCCAAGUAGCCUGGGAAAAAGUGGUCAUUGAGCCAUGAGAAAAAAUUAACAUUUGAUCCUGUUGGUGCCACCUGAAGGCAGAGAUGGCUGAGGACCCCCGAGUAAUGUAUGAAUGAAAGACUUAAGAAUACAUCUGACCCAGGCAGCCUGGGUUCAACUCUCCAUGUGAGAAUACCAAGCUUGGCUGGGCACAGUGCCUCACAUCUGUAAUCCCAACACUUUGAGAGGCUGCGGCAGGAAGAUUACUUGAAGCCAAGAGCUGGCGAACAACCUGGGCAACAAAGUGAGACUUCAUCUCUACAAUUUUUUUUUUAAUUAGCCGGAUGCAGUGGUGCACACCUGUAGUCUCAGCUUCUCAGGAGGCUGAAGUAGGAUUGCUUGAGCCUGUGAGCCCAGAAGUUUGAGACGGCAGUGAGUUACGAUCACACCACUGCAUUAGAGCCUGAAUGGCAGAGUGAGAGCCUAUCUCUAAACUAAGUAAACAAAUACAGACAUACAUACAUAAAGUAAGAAUUAUUAUAAUAACAAGAAUACAAGCAGUCUGCAAUUUGUGUUUAUGGUGCUAACUGCAACUCAUGUAUGUGGUACCCUCAUUUUUCACAAUAUCAUGGUAACUAAAUAACUGUGCAAAUUAAGAGUACAGUUCUUAUGUGUAUGUUUUAUAGUUAAUACAUACUGUUCAAAAAAAGAACUACCUGUACUAAAUAAGAAUAAUAUAGGUGGACUUGUCUACUGCCUAAUAAAACACAUGAUAAAGCACUACAAAUGAAAGACAAUAGUUCUUACAAGCAAAUAGGGAAUGCAGAGGAAAAAUAAUAGAGGGGCAUCUCAGUCAAGAUUCAAAUUUAGUUUAUAAUAAAUACAAAACUUUUCUCUCAAUUUCUGGAUCUGGAUUAUAU